RNAcentral lists this ribosomal RNA (253 nucleotides) under uncultured bacterium. RNAcentral's name for it is "partial 16S ribosomal RNA". It matches the Rfam family "Bacterial small subunit ribosomal RNA", at positions 524 to 776 of the family's 1533-position model. The record is from RNAcentral.
GACAGAGGGUGCAAACGUUGCUCGGAAUCACUGGGCGUAAAGGGCGUGUAGGCGGGAAGGAAAGUCAGAUGUGAAAUCCCCGGGCUCAACCUGGGAAUGGCAUUUGGGACUGCAAGGCUCGAGUGCGGCAGAGGAGACUGGAAUUCCUGGUGUAGCAGUGAAAUGCGUAGAUAUCAGGAGGAAUACCGAUGGCGAAGGCAGGUCUCUGGGCUGACACUGACGCUCAUGCACGAAAGCGUGGGGAGCAAACAGG